RNAcentral lists this ribosomal RNA (481 nucleotides) under uncultured bacterium. RNAcentral's name for it is "partial 16S ribosomal RNA". It matches the Rfam family "Bacterial small subunit ribosomal RNA", at positions 28 to 507 of the family's 1533-position model. The record is from RNAcentral.
GAUGAACGCUGGCGGCGUGCUUAACACAUGCAAGUCGAACGAAGCACUUUAUUUGAUUUCCUUCGGGACUGAUUAUUUUGUGACUGAGUGGCGGACGGGUGAGUAACGCGUGGGUAACCUGCCUUGUACAGGGGGAUAACAGUUGGAAACGGCUGCUAAUACCGCAUAAGCGCACAGCAUCGCAUGAUGCAGUGUGAAAAACUCCGGUGGUAUAAGAUGGACCCGCGUUGGAUUAGCUAGUUGGUGAGGUAACGGCCCACCAAGGCGACGAUCCAUAGCCGACCUGAGAGUGUGACCGGCCACAGUGGGACUGAGACACGGCCCAAACUCCUACGGGAGGCAGCAGUGGGGAAUAUUGCACAAUGGGCGAAAGCCUGAUGCAGCGACGCCGCGUGAGCGAAGAAGUAUUUCGGUAUGUAAAGCUCUAUCAGCAGGGAAGAUAAUGACGGUACCUGACGAAGAAGCACCGGCUAAAUACGUG